AGAGAUAGGCCUUUGAGACAUUCGAUAUAUUCCAUGUUAUUAGACAUGAGGACUUGGUACUUGCGACAGAUCGUUUGACUACUUGCCAUUGUGCUCAUUCGCACAUGCUUGUGAGGGUCGCUCCCUACAAGCCGGCACUCCGGAGAUGGCCAUCGCGAUACAUAUUCGCCGUGCGGGAUUGGGCGCCGAAGUGGAUUGCCGUGGGGCAGGCUCAUUCCUAGGGUGGGGAUGUUGACUACCACGGGGCCAUUAGGCUCGGCACCGGCCAGACAGCCUUCGGGUGGGUCUCAGGGCCAUAGACAGCCUUCGGGUGGGUCUCUUCAGAUUCGACUUGAGUAUUCGUUAUGACAUGUGGACAGAUGAUGACUUAGAGUAUUAUUUGGACAUUGACUAGAAUAGUAAACAACGGAACUUUACUAUUUCGCAUUGUGAACAUUAUGAUAGUUGGAGACUUUUACUUCAUGCAUAGUUGUUUCAUACUUAUGCUAUUUAUGCUAAGUAGAGAUAUCAUGUUGUAGUAAGUUACAUUUUACUUACCUUUCGCUUCUCU
This 550-nucleotide long non-coding RNA is filed under the name Ananas comosus (pineapple). RNAcentral describes it as "long non-coding RNA (ACOM_LNC036978)". Lineage: Eukaryota; Viridiplantae; Streptophyta; Magnoliopsida; Poales; Bromeliaceae. The record is from RNAcentral.